RNAcentral lists this ribosomal RNA (486 nucleotides) under uncultured bacterium. RNAcentral describes it as "partial 16S ribosomal RNA". It matches the Rfam family "Bacterial small subunit ribosomal RNA", at positions 28 to 507 of the family's 1533-position model. The record is from RNAcentral.
GAUGAACGCUGGCGGCGUGCCUAAUACAUGCAAGUCGAACGCUGGAGAUCUAGCUUGCUAGAUCGAAGGAGUGGCGAACGGGUGAGUAAUACAUAAGCAACCUACCCACGAAGACUGGGAUAAUCUCUGGAAACGGGGACUAAUACCGGAUAGGUAAUCGGAAGGCAUCUUCUGGUUAUUAAAGGUUAAAAACACUGGUGGAUGGGCUUAUGGCGCAUUAGUUAGUUGGUGAGAUAACGGCCCACCAAGACGAUGAUGCGUAGCCGGCCUGAGAGGGUGAACGGCCACAUUGGGACUGAGACACGGCCCAGACUCCUACGGGAGGCAGCAGUAGGGAAUUUUCGGCAAUGGGGGCAACCCUGACCGAGCAACGCCGCGUGAGUGAAGACGGCCUUCGGGUUGUAAAGCUCUGUUGUAAGGGAAGAACGGUAGAUAGAGAAUAUCUAAGUGACGGUACCUUACCAGAAAGCCACGGCUAACUACGUG